This 483-nucleotide ribosomal RNA is filed under the name uncultured bacterium. Its description in RNAcentral is "partial 16S ribosomal RNA". It matches the Rfam family "Bacterial small subunit ribosomal RNA", at positions 30 to 506 of the family's 1533-position model. The record is from RNAcentral.
AUUGAACGCUGGCGGCAGGCCUAACACAUGCAAGUCGAGCGGAUGAAGGGAGCUUGCUCCUGGAUUCAGCGGCGGACGGGUGAGUAAUGCCUAGGAAUCUGCCUGGUAGUGGGGGAUAACGUCCGGAAACGGGCGCUAAUACCGCAUACGUCCUGAGGGAGAAAGUGGGGGAUCUUCGGACCUCACGCUAUCAGAUGAGCCUAGGUCGGAUUAGCUAGUUGGUGGGGUAAAGGCCUACCAAGGCGACGAUCCGUAACUGGUCUGAGAGGAUGAUCAGUCACACUGGAACUGAGACACGGUCCAGACUCCUACGGGAGGCAGCAGUGGGGAAUAUUGGACAAUGGGCGAAAGCCCGAUCCAGCCAUGCCGCGUGUGUGAAGAAGGUCUUCGGAUUGUAAAGCACUUUAAGUUGGGAGGAAGGGCAGUAAGUUAAUACCUUGCUGUUUUGACGUUACCAACAGAAUAAGCACCGGCUAACUUCGU